This 405-nucleotide long non-coding RNA is filed under the name Cucumis sativus (cucumber). Its description in RNAcentral is "long non-coding RNA (CSAT_LNC003072)". Lineage: Eukaryota; Viridiplantae; Streptophyta; Magnoliopsida; Cucurbitales; Cucurbitaceae. The record is from RNAcentral.
AAAGGGUUUGUAAACGAAAGAGUUGUGAGAAGUGAAUGGUUCUCAGGUAAUGGGGAGAGAGUAAAGAAGGGAGUUUAAGAGAGAAAAGAAAACGUGGGAGGACAUGGGAAUGGAAAGGAAUGGUGUGUGAUGAAAACGAAGAGUACAGAGCAAAGGAAGAGAACAGAGCGGGACAAGGAUUUGAUUUCUUGGAGUAAAAAACGAUAGAAACGAAAAAGAAGAAGAAGAAAAGAAAAUUGUUUGGUGGGUGUUUCAGACCACCAUGCGACAAUCCCAGACCAGAACACGACCUACCGAGAUCGUUCUUCUACCGACGAGGGAUCAGGGGGGAGUUGAAUAGUUUAACUUUAAUCAUAGACUGAUACCAGAGCGUUGGAACUUGCUUCCUUUGCGCCGAAGGAAGAA